CUACGGGUGGCACCAGUGGGGAAUAUUGGACAAUGGGGGAAACCCUGAUCCAGCAAUGCCGCGUGUGUGAAGAAGGCCUGCGGGUUGUAAAGCACUUUCGGUUGGGAGGACUGCUUCUAGCACUAAUAUUGUUGGAAGUUGACGUUACCUUCAGAAGAAGCACCGGCUAACUCCGUGCCAGCAGCCGCGGUACUACGGAGGGUGCAAGCGUUAAUCGGAAUUACUGGGCGUAACGCGCGCGUAGGCGGCUAGAUCAGUCGGGUGUGAAAGCCCCGGGCUUAACCUGGGAACGGCAUCCGAUACUGUCUAGCUUGAGUACAGGAGAGGAGAGUGGAAUUCCACAUGUAGCGGUGAAAUGCGUAGAUAUGUGGAGGAACACCAAGGGCGAAGGCAGCUCUCUGGCCUGAUACUGACGCUGAGGUGCGAAAGCGUGGGGAGCAAACAGGAUUAGAUACCCUCGUAGUC
Molecule: ribosomal RNA, 465 nt
Filed under: uncultured bacterium
Lineage: Bacteria
Description: partial 16S ribosomal RNA
Rfam family: Bacterial small subunit ribosomal RNA
Source: RNAcentral